This 2669-nucleotide long non-coding RNA is filed under the name Podarcis lilfordi (Lilford's wall lizard). Lineage: Eukaryota; Metazoa; Chordata; Lepidosauria; Squamata; Lacertidae. The record is from RNAcentral.
GUUAUUCUCAACAACAAAGUUGCCAACUGACAGCAAUACUUCAGUGGCCGUUUCUGCCUCUGCACUUGAUUUCAGUACAAUCUCAUUUCCCAGAGGGAUAUUAUUCCCUAUGUUUGUGGUGUUUAUUUUGAAUUAUGUUAACAUAAAUUUGCACUAUGUGUUCAAGGCUGCUUUCAGCCAUUGACAGACAGGAUCGUACUGUUCCCUGAGGCAAGACAAGAGGCCUUCAGCUCCUGAAGUAAAUUUUAGAAUCUCUCGAUCGGGGGUGGGGAACCUCUGCUCUGGGGGCCCGAUCUUGGCCUGCCAGGCCUCCCCAUCUGGCCCAUGGGGACGUACCCGCUGUUUCAGCAUUGAUGAGGAGUGACAGUUUUCCCACUCUCCCACAGACUUGAAUGGGAAAGGGAAAUAAAGUGCAACCCUAAUCAUAUCUCCUUAGAACUGAGUCCCAUUGAAUUCAUUGGGGCUUACUCCCAGGUAAGUGGAUCUGGAAUCACAGGUCACACCAGUUCAUGCUGGAGCAAUGAAGGGACUUUCUAUGCCCAUACUUUGAGAGCGUCUGGAUGCCCUCAAGGCAUCCCAUUCCCCCUGCUCCACUGGCAGAAUAGCUGUGUAAGCUGAACAUUAUACUGGCAUGCCUGGGGCAUAAGCUGUGUCCCGCCAGCAAACUCGUUCUCCAUUGGCGGAGGCCCCUCAUCUGGCCAUAUGGUAAGCAUCCUUUAUAAUACUAAAUAAAUAAGCAAGUAAAUGGGGGGGGGGAUAGAAUUAGCCCAGGUAAGUAAUAAACUACUUGGGAAAUGCUAUGUGUCAAUGUAAACUUCUUUUUACGGAAUGGAGGACUGGGUGUUUUUUUUUCAGAUGUCAUUUCAGAAUUUCACGCAGUGCUCUCAUCACAUAUAAACCUUUGUACACCCAGUAUGCAUUCUAGGCUGCUCUGGCUUUUGGGGGGGAAACUUAAGAAGGAAGUCAGUUGUCAUACAAUUUAGAUAAAUGGGCUAUUCCGCAGGCAGUCUAUAUUCUUGAUGAGCAACCACCACUUUGAAAAGCUAAUAUUCUAUCAACAAAGAAGGUGACAGGUGGGCACUCUGGGGUUUCUUUCACACUGUAAUUAUCCCCUUUCAACUUCAGCCCCCCAUCUCAGUUAAAAUUAUCAGGAAAGUUUCAGGACAAUUUAUGAAAGCAUGUAGGGAAAUAUAUUUCUGCUGAUGUUAGGAAAGACUAGAGGAGGGAAAACUUGUUGAAAUUAAUUGGUCUUAACUAAGAAAACAUAUCUGUGUCUUGUUCUUAAACUCAGAUUCAAAAAAGCAUGACUGAGUCAGUUUAUGAUUUAAAAUUGUAUUAUUUUUCGAUUUUUGUGCUUGCUUUCAGAUGCUUAAAUAUUAUUUCAGGUUCACAUACUGCAAUAUUCUUUUUCAAAAACAAAAACCUGAAGCCACUAGAUUCCAGUGAAUGUCCUCUCUUUUCAGUUCUAAGAAGUGUAUGAAAUUGCUGGACCUGUUCAAAAUAAUGAGAUUUGGCAACUUUAAGCUAGUAGAAAGCCGGACAAAGGUACACAAAUUUGGGAAUGUAUCCAUCUCACAAAGUGCUGUUCAAAUGAGCAAAGCAAGAACACUUUAAAGCUCUGUCUCGUCAGAUGAUUACAAGGUCCUAAAAUAUGUACAAUGUGGUUUUGCUGUUUCUAAAAUAUGCUGAAAAGAGGUUCACAGACAAGCGCUUAUUUAAAAUGGUCUGCAUAGUUUUUCCUCCUCUCCUUCCUGCUCAAAAGUUUCCCUUUCUGUCUUACCUGGAAGACCCUGUUUUCACACUUUUAACGAAGUAAAAUAUAGACACUGCUCGUCUGUUCCUUUGGGAAAAUAGAUUUGUCCCAGGUUUUGUCUUUCCAACCCCAAAAAUCAGGGUUAGCCAGUGUGAUGCCCUCCAGAUGUUGGAUUACAGCUUCCAUCAUCUCUGACCAUUGGCCAUGCUGGUUGAGGCAGAUGUCCGUUGGAGUUCAAUAGCUAGAGGGCACCGUAUUGACUACUAUGGAACCACAAACAUUAAGUGCUGUCUGUGCCAGAGCUAUAUUGUUACCCAUAGUUAGAUUUCAGUUCUAUCCAGGACCAGCACUUUGUCAGGAUUUUAUUUGCAGCCAAUGAGCACCUGCUGCAAGAUGCACUUCCAAAAUACCUUUGUGUCAACCUGAAACAGAAUUGAGAGAGGCAGAAGAGGUAGGUCUGGGAGAGACCAGGAAGGUGGAGAGAAAGGAAGGCUGGUACCCAGAGCCAAGACUUCCUCAAAACACUUGUAUGCCUAAUUAAGAUUUCUGAUCUUUCAUCUUCUGCUAUGCACACAUUUGGUGUGACAAGCAUAUAAAACAUGUUUUCUGGACUGCGAAAAGCGUAUCAGUGAGAUCUCAUUACAGUGGUCUUCCUAGGUGUGAAAUUCUAGAUAGAGCAUCAAUGUUAAUACUCCAGACUUCAUUUAUAACGUAAAAUGAAAUGGAAAUUCACAAUGAACUCUUCCUUUAUAACCAGAUUUCAUCCUUCUUCCAAUGGAGAACCCAAAACUCUACAUAUCCAUUAGAACUACAAGAUACAUUUGUACCUCAAGAGAGUUGCCAGAGGCAAGACAUUGUGACCUUUUACACCUGCAGUGUAUCAAACAUCCCAUUGCCAAAGAAGCCAAUAAAACCG